AGGUUGUAAUGGUCCUUGAAUGGCUGCUAGGACCCGUGCAGUUCAUACCUCAGCACUAAAGCAGGAGACGGGUUGGUCUAAGGUCCCGUUGCGAGGCACUGGUAGAUAAAGCACACUCCAGACAAUGGCCUGUUCUGCUCAUGCAGAUGAUGGUGUGCAAUAUCAAAGCCAAAUGAGAUGGCUGCCAAUUAGGGAGGGCUUCCAAGUGCAUUUCAAUGCAAACUCGCACCGCUUUUGCAGCUGGGCUGCCCUGCCUCACUUGGAUGCAUCAACAAAGCUUGAAGUGGCCACUCUAAUCUGGUUAAGUAUUGCCUGGUUGGGGAGAAAUUAGCCGAAUUCUUUUAACUUUUCAAACAAACAUAAUACAGUCAAACUUGCUGGAUGAGAAUCAAUUACAUGAACUGAAUAUAGGUUCGGGGGGGAGAUAUCAUUUCAUUUCUGGAAAUCAUCUAAUACGUCUAUUCAGUGGAAUAUGCCUGUAGUAUCACAGCGAAGCCAUAUUUCAGUCCAGUGAAAUGAAGGAAGCAGUGGAGUAUCUGUUGAAACACUGCCAGAAUAUGUUACACAAAUCUUUUUCACCCCGUGGUAAUAUUGCCAUUAUCUGCUUUACUUCAAAAAUACUUAUAUCUUGCCUAAAUCCGCGAGACACUGUGAGGAAUAAUGGGAUCAUCAUGCUUUCUCAAAGUGAUCGGUUGGAUUGGUGAAUAGAAACUAUUGCCCUACUUGUAUCAGUCUAUUAAACAACAUCUGUCUAAAUAGAAAAAACAGAAACCUAAUGUGAUUCAAUAGAACGCAAUAAAUCUUCCUAAAGUGCGAUACCUUUGCGUCACGUGU
This is a long non-coding RNA of Oreochromis aureus, 834 nucleotides long. NCBI's taxonomy places the organism in Eukaryota, Metazoa, Chordata, Actinopteri, Cichliformes, Cichlidae. The record is from Ensembl.